GGAGUUUGGACCGUGUCUCAGUUCCAAUGUGGCCGAUUACCCUCUCAGGUCGGCUACUGAUCGUUGCCUUGGUGGGCCGUUACCUCACCAACCAGCUAAUCAGACGCAGGUCCAUCCCUCACCGAUAAAUCUUUGGCGAUAAAGCCAUGUGACUCCAUCGCAUUAUCAGGUAUUAAUCCCAGUUUCCCGAGGCUAUCCCUGUGUAAGGGGCAGGUUACCUACGCGUUACUCACCCGUCCGCCGCUAUCCUCUGCAUCAAUCCACCGAAGUCUCAAUCAACAGAUUCCCGCUCGACUUGCAUGUGUUAGGCACGCCGCCAGCGUUCAUC
This 328-nucleotide ribosomal RNA is filed under the name uncultured Clostridiaceae bacterium. RNAcentral's name for it is "partial 16S ribosomal RNA". Lineage: Bacteria; Bacillati; Bacillota; Clostridia; Eubacteriales; Clostridiaceae. The record is from RNAcentral.